This 103-nucleotide microRNA precursor is filed under the name Marmota monax (woodchuck). Lineage: Eukaryota; Metazoa; Chordata; Mammalia; Rodentia; Sciuridae. The record is from RNAcentral.
AGUGGGAUAGCUGGGUCAAAUGGGAGUUCCAUUCCAAAUUUUUCAAGGAAUUUCUGUACUUCUUUCCAGAGCGGUUGCACCAAUUUGCAGCCCCACCAGCAAU